Molecule: ribosomal RNA, 516 nt
Filed under: uncultured bacterium
Lineage: Bacteria
Description: bacterial SSU rRNA
Rfam family: Bacterial small subunit ribosomal RNA
Source: RNAcentral
GAGAGUUGAUCAUGGCUCAGGAUGAACGCUAGCGGCAGGCUAACACAUGCAAGUCGAGGGGCAGCGGGAUGUAGCAAUACAUGCCGGCGACCGGCGGAUGGGUGCGUAACGCGUAUGCAACCUACCUUAUACAGGGGAAUAACCUUUCGAAAGGGAGACUAACACCCCAUAGUAUUGAUUUAAGGCAUCUUAGAUUAAUUAAAUAUUUAUAGGUAUAAGAUGGGCAUGCGUAUGAUUAGCUAGUUGGUAAGGUAACGGCUUACCAAGGCGACGAUCAUUAGGGGUUCUGAGAGGAAGGUCCCCCACACUGGUACUGAGACACGGACCAGACUCCUACGGGAGGCAGCAGUGAGGAAUAUUGGUCAAUGGGCGCAAGCCUGAACCAGCCAUGCCGCGUGCAAGGAAGACGGCCUUAUGGGUUGUAAACUGCUUUUACAUAAGACUAACCGUAUAUUUGCGAAUAUACCUGAAUGUAUUAUGAGAAUAAGGAUCGGCUAACUCCGUGCCAGCCGCCGC